RNAcentral lists this ribosomal RNA (301 nucleotides) under uncultured bacterium. RNAcentral's name for it is "partial 16S ribosomal RNA". It matches the Rfam family "Bacterial small subunit ribosomal RNA", at positions 509 to 809 of the family's 1533-position model. The record is from RNAcentral.
CAGCCGCCGCGGGAAUACAGAGGGUGCGAGCGUUAAUCGGAUUUACUGGGCGUAAAGCGUGCGUAGGCGGCUUCUUAAGUCGGAUGUGAAAUCCCUGAGCUUAACUUAGGAAUUGCAUUCGAUACUGGGAAGCUAGAGUAUGGGAGAGGAUGGUAGAAUUCCAGGUGUAGCGGUGAAAUGCGUAGAGAUCUGGAGGAAUACCGAUGGCGAAGGCAGCCAUCUGGCCUAAUACUGACGCUGAGGUACGAAAGCAUGGGGAGCAAACAGGAUUAGAUACCCGCGUAGUCCCUGUCUCUUAUUA